AUGAACGCUGGCGGCGUGCCUAAUACAUGCAAGUCGAGCGAACGGACGAGAAGCUUGCUUCUCUGAUGUUAGCGGCGGACGGGUGAGUAACACGUGGAUAACCUACCUAUAAGACUGGGAUAACUUCGGGAAACCGUAGCUAAUACCGGAUAAUAUUUUGAACCGCAUGGUUCAAAAGUGAAAGACGGUCUUGCUGUCACUUAUAGAUGGAUCCGCGCUGCAUUAGCUAGUUGGUAAGGUAACGGCUUACCAAGGCAACGAUGCAUAGCCGACCUGAGAGGGUGAUCGGCCACACUGGAACUGAGACACGGUCCAGACUCCUACGGGAGGCAGCAGUAGGGAAUCUUCCGCAAUUGGCGAAAGCCUGACGGAGCAGCGCCGCGUGAGUGAUGAAGGUCUUCGGAUCGUAAAACUCUGUUAUUAGGGAAGAACAUAUGUGUAAGUAACUGUGCACAUCUUGACGGUACCUAAUCAGAAAGCCACGGCUAACUACGUG
This 496-nucleotide ribosomal RNA is filed under the name uncultured bacterium. RNAcentral's name for it is "partial 16S ribosomal RNA". It matches the Rfam family "Bacterial small subunit ribosomal RNA", at positions 29 to 507 of the family's 1533-position model. The record is from RNAcentral.